CUACGGUAGGUCUGUAUGCUCCGAAUGCUCUAGGCUACACGCGCGCAACAAUGGUAGUGACAAUGGGAUGCCACCCUGAAAAGGGGAGCUAAACCUCUAAACCCUAUCUUAGUCCAGAUCGAGGCUUGAAACCCAGCCUCGUGACGCUGGAAUCCCUAGUAAUCGGAUAUCAUCAUUGUCCGGUGAAUAUGUCCCUGCUCCUUGCACACACCGCCCGUCAAACCAACCGAGCAGGGUUUAGGUGAACCUCAACUUUUUUGGUUGUGCUGAACCUGAGCUCAGUGAGGUGGGUUAAGUCGUCACAAGGUCACCGUAGGGGAACCUGCGGUGGGAUCACCUCCU
Molecule: ribosomal RNA, 342 nt
Filed under: Candidatus Woesearchaeota archaeon
Lineage: Archaea; Nanobdellati; Candidatus Woesearchaeota
Description: bacterial SSU rRNA
Rfam family: Archaeal small subunit ribosomal RNA
Source: RNAcentral